GAUGAACGCUGGCGGCGUGCCUAAUACAUGCAAGUCGAGCGAACGGACGAGAAGCUUGCUUUUCUGAUGUUAGCGGCGGACGGGUGAGUAACACGUGGAUAACCUACCUAUAAGACUGGGAUAACUUCGGGAAACCGGAGCUAAUACCGGAUAAUAUUUUGAACCGCAUGGUUCAAAAGUGAAAGACGGUCUUGCUGUCACUUAUAGAUGGAUCCGCGCUGCAUUAGCUAGUUGGUAAGGUAACGGCUUACCAAGGCAACGAUGCAUAGCCGACCUGAGAGGGUUAUCGGCCACACUGGACCUGAGACACGGUCCAGACUCCUACGGGAGGCAGCAGUAGGGAAUCUUCCGCAAAGGGCGAAAGCCUGACGGAGCAACGCCGCGUGAGUGAUGAAGGUCUUCGGAUCGUAGAACUCUGUUAGUAGGGAAGAACAUAUGUGUAAUUAACUUUGCACAUCUUGACGGUACCUAAUCAGAAAGCCACGGCUAACUACGUG
Molecule: ribosomal RNA, 497 nt
Filed under: uncultured bacterium
Lineage: Bacteria
Description: partial 16S ribosomal RNA
Rfam family: Bacterial small subunit ribosomal RNA
Source: RNAcentral